RNAcentral lists this ribosomal RNA (495 nucleotides) under uncultured bacterium. RNAcentral's name for it is "partial 16S ribosomal RNA". It matches the Rfam family "Bacterial small subunit ribosomal RNA", at positions 28 to 523 of the family's 1533-position model. The record is from RNAcentral.
GAUGAACGCUGGCGGCGUGCUUAACACAUGCAAGUCGAGCGAAGCAGUUAAGUUGAUUUCUUCGGAUUGAUUCUUAAUUGACUGAGCGGCGGACGGGUGAGUAACGCGUGGGUGACCUGCCCCAUACCGGGGGAUAACAGCUGGAAACGGCUGCUAAUACCGCAUAAGCGCACAGAGCUGCAUGGCUCGGUGUGAAAAACUCCGGUGGUAUGGGAUGGGCCCGCGUCUGAUUAGGCAGUUGGCGGGGUAACGGCCCACCAAACCGACGAUCAGUAGCCGGCCUGAGAGGGCGACCGGCCACAUUGGGACUGAGACACGGCCCAAACUCCUACGGGAGGCAGCAGUGGGGAAUAUUGCACAAUGGGGGAAACCCUGAUGCAGCGACGCCGCGUGAGCGAAGAAGUAUUUCGGUAUGUAAAGCUCUAUCAGCAGGGAAGAUAAUGACGGUACCUGACUAAGAAGCCCCGGCUAACUACGUGCCAGCCGCCGCCGUAA